GAUGAACGCUGGCGGCGCGCCUAACACAUGCAAGUCGAACGAUUAAAGCACCUUCGGGUAUGUAUAAAGUGGCGAACGGCUGAGUAACACGUGGGCAACCUGCCCCUUUCAUUGGGAUAGCCACGGGAAACCGUGGAUAAUACCGAAUACUUCGAGACUUCCGCAUGGAAGACUCGAGAAAGCUCCGGCGGAGAGGGAUGGGCCCGCGGCCUGUUAGCUUGUUGGUGGGGUAACGGCCUACCAAGGCAAUGAUGGGUAGCUGGGUUGAGAGACCGACCAGCCAGAUUGGGACUGAGACACGGCCCAGACUCCUACGGGAGGCAGCAGUGGGGAAUCUUGCACAAUGGGCGAAAGCCUGAUGCAGCGACGCCGCGUGCGGGAUGAAGGCCUUCGGGUUGUAAACCGCUUUCAGCAGGGACGAGGCGAAAGUGACGGUACCUGCAGAAGAAGCCCCGGCUAACUACGUG
Molecule: ribosomal RNA, 467 nt
Filed under: uncultured bacterium
Lineage: Bacteria
Description: partial 16S ribosomal RNA
Rfam family: Bacterial small subunit ribosomal RNA
Source: RNAcentral